AAGAAGUGAUAUGCCCCAGGGUGAGGGGGCAGAGUGCCGAUGGCUUCAGGGGACAGCGACCAGACCAAGAUCUCCGAAAGACAGGCAGAUGAGGAACACCUAGACUGCACAGACAGGUAUCAGAUCUGCACAAGAGACUGAAGGCUUUCCUGCCUCCUCUCCAUUUUUUACUCUCCUCAAGCCUUCCCCCAGCCUUCAAGGGUAGAGGAAUCUCAUCUUCAAUGCUCCACAGUCAUUGGGGCCAGAGAGAAGAGAACAGAGACUUCUCAGCAAACAAUUCUCAGUGUGGAAAGAAAACUGUGUGCAAACAGCGGACAAUUUGAAAAAGGGCGGGGACAAAGAGCUUACAGAAGGGCAGUAGGGAUGAACAACACAAAGAAAACCA
Molecule: long non-coding RNA, 385 nt
Organism: Urocitellus parryii (Arctic ground squirrel)
Lineage: Eukaryota; Metazoa; Chordata; Mammalia; Rodentia; Sciuridae
Source: RefSeq, a predicted model, not a curated record